UGCCAGGUCAAGGAGCAGACCAGCAAGCGUCUUCAUCCAAGAUGGUUCAUGCACAGAAGAUUGAGCCACUUACCAUUUCAGAGCUUAACCAAUUUAUUAUCACUGCUGAUUCUCAGAUUAUUGAGUUCCUCUGCACUGCUAAGUGACCGGGAUCCAGCAAGAUGACGGUUGUUGUUAUAUUGGUUUUUUCAGAUGUUCAAAGAAACUUGUCCGAGAGAUAUCUUCCUUCACAUGUGCUCAGGUACCGAGUGACACUGAUUCAGCAUCUUUCCUUGCUUUGUUACGAAGAUUGCUAAACUGACAAACAUCCAAGCUUCUGAGGCUGCAUAGACUGGGGAUAGGUGUUCAUGCUCAGGUUGAUACUGAGUUGCAUCGGUCCCUUGCUGAGAUUGUUGGGAAAACCUACACAUUCCAUAAACUGAACGAUUUCAAUUUUGCUUUGAAGCAUCAAACCUUCACCAUUUCCCGCAUAUUUCCAGAGCGAGAGCUUGCACCUAUGCCAGCCUUUGUCAUACCUUUAGUUCCGUUUCUUAACGUUAAUUUUCUACAUCUACUUUUACUUCCAAUAUAUAAUCUCCUGUUUGUUACCUUAUUAAUAGGAAGGUGCAAAUGCUCCUGAGGAAGCACUGCAUGAAGUUGUGGCACCAGGAACAGAGGAGAAAGAUGCCAACACUUGCAAUGUGGCAGAGGAGAGCCAUCCACGUCUGAUGCUUCCACUGCCGGACGUGCUGCAUCGGCCAAAGAACAAGUUACUGCUGAUAGGAAUGCCCGCAAGAAAGCACGUGUGGAAUGAGUCCACUACUAGCUCUUAGACAAGCAUAACUUCUUAUCGACUACUGCUUAUCUUUUAAUUUUCGUCAACUUCUUAUCGACUACUGCUUUUAGUAUCUUUUACUUUUUGUUUAAUUCUAUUUCCCUUUUGUUUUAUAACUUCAUGUUGUGGUUGUCGUUUAAAUUAUUAAUGCAAAUUUUUUUAUGCAGAAAA
Long non-coding RNA from Brassica napus (rape), 985 nucleotides. RefSeq lists it as uncharacterized. The transcript is spliced from 4 exons. The record is from RefSeq and is a predicted model, not a curated record. Lineage: Eukaryota; Viridiplantae; Streptophyta; Magnoliopsida; Brassicales; Brassicaceae.